AAUAGAUACCCCGGUAGUCCACGCCGUAAACGAUGAGUGCUAAGUGUUAGAGGGUUUCCGCCCUUUAGUGCUGCAGCUAACGCAUUAAGCACUCCGCCUGGGGAGUACGGUCGCAAGACUGAAACUCAAAGGAAUUGACGGGGGGCCCGCACAAGCGGUGGAGCAUGUGGUUUAAUUCGAAGCAACGCGAAGAACCUUACCAGGUCUUGACAUCCUCUGACAACUCUAGAGAUAGAGCGUUCCCCUUCGGGGGACAGAGUGACAGGUGGUGCAUGGUUGUCGUCAGCUCGUGUCGUGAGAUGUUGGGUUAAGUCCCGCAACGAGCGCAACCCUUGAUCUUAGUUGCCAGCAUUUAGUUGGGCACUCUAAGGUGACUGCCGGUGACAAACCGGAGGAAGGUGAGGAUGACGUCAAAUCAUCAUGCCCCUUAUGACCUGGGCUACACACGUGCUACAAUGGAUGGUACAAAGGGCUGCAAGACCGCGAGGUCAAGCCAAUCCCAUAAAACCAUUCUCAGUUCGGAUUGUAGG
RNAcentral lists this ribosomal RNA (530 nucleotides) under uncultured bacterium. Its description in RNAcentral is "bacterial SSU rRNA". It matches the Rfam family "Bacterial small subunit ribosomal RNA", at positions 777 to 1304 of the family's 1533-position model. The record is from RNAcentral.